RNAcentral lists this ribosomal RNA (330 nucleotides) under uncultured eukaryote. Its description in RNAcentral is "partial 18S ribosomal RNA". It matches the Rfam family "Eukaryotic small subunit ribosomal RNA", at positions 1470 to 1796 of the family's 1831-position model. The record is from RNAcentral.
CCCUUAGAUGUUCUGGGCCGCACGCGCGCUACACUGUCGGAUUCAGCGAGUCUUAACCUUAACCGAAAGGUUUGGGUAAUCUUUUGAAAGUCCGACGUGAUGGGGAUUGAUCAUUGCAAUUAUUGAUCAUGAACGAGGAAUUCCUAGUAAGCGCGAGUCAUCAGCUCGCGUUGAUUACGUCCCUGCCCUUUGUACACACCGCCCGUCGCUACUACCGAUUGAAUGGUUUAGUGAGAUCUUCGGAUUGGCGCCAUCGUGGCUUCACGGCCAUGACGGAUGGCCGAAAAGUUGAUCAAACUUGAUCAUUUAGAGGAAGUAAAAGUCGUAACA